CUAAACAGGUGUCUGUGGAGGGCACACCUGCUUAGCAGGACACGGGGCCCAUUCCUAACCUUGGGGGCUCCCAGUCUGGUGGUGGAGACAUAGUAAGCAAGGGGUGACAGUGCCGUGGAUAAGCUGUCCCGUGUGAAACCAGGUAAUGGACAGCUCAAUGCCGCUGAUUGGAGAGCAUGUGGAAGAGGACAGACAGCUGAUGGCCGACCUUGUUGUCUCCAAAAUGAGCCAGCUCCCGAUGCCAGGAGGCACAGCGCCCUCCCCCCUCAGACCUUGGGCUCCACAGAUUAAAUCAGCGAAAUCCCCAGGGCAAGCCCAGCUGGGGCCUCAGCUAGGCCAGCCCCAGCCACGCCCACCUCCGCAAGGAGGCCCUCGCCAAGCUCAGUCUCCUCAGCCCCAGAGAUCUGGAAGCCCCUCCCAACAGAGGCUCUCCCCACAAGGCCAGCAGCCCCUGAGCCCCCAGUCCGGAUCUCCACAGCAGCAAAGGUCACCAGGCUCUCCGCAGCU
This 507-nucleotide long non-coding RNA is filed under the name Homo sapiens (human). Its description in RNAcentral is "non-protein coding lnc-BPIFC-2:2". The record is from RNAcentral. Lineage: Eukaryota; Metazoa; Chordata; Mammalia; Primates; Hominidae.